This 254-nucleotide ribosomal RNA is filed under the name uncultured bacterium. Its description in RNAcentral is "partial 16S ribosomal RNA". It matches the Rfam family "Bacterial small subunit ribosomal RNA", at positions 524 to 776 of the family's 1533-position model. The record is from RNAcentral.
CACGUAGGGGGCAAGCGUUGUCCGGAUUUAUUGGGCGUAAAGAGCUCGUAGGUGGUUCGGUAAGUCGGGUGUUAAACCCCCAGGCUCAACCUGGGGACGCCACUCGAUACUGCUGUGACUAGAGUCCGGUAGGGGAGCGUGGAAUUCCUGGUGUAGCGGUGAAAUGCGCAGAUAUCGGUAGGAACACCAGUGGCGAAGGCGGUCUCCUGGGGCAUUCUUGACGCUGAGGCGCGAAAGCUGGGGGAGCGAACGGG